RNAcentral lists this transfer RNA (72 nucleotides) under Dethiosulfatarculus sandiegensis. It matches the Rfam family "tRNA". From Rfam's summary of the family: Transfer RNA (tRNA) molecules are approximately 80 nucleotides in length. The record is from Rfam by way of RNAcentral. Lineage: Bacteria; Pseudomonadati; Thermodesulfobacteriota; Desulfarculia; Desulfarculales; Desulfarculaceae.
AGGCGCGUAGCUCAGGGGGAGAGCGCUACCCUGACACGGUAGAGGUCCCGGGUUCAAAUCCCGGCGCGCCUA